This 115-nucleotide small RNA is filed under the name Chrysemys picta bellii (western painted turtle). Its description in RNAcentral is "TUC338 (ENSCPBG00000008312.1)". Lineage: Eukaryota; Metazoa; Chordata; Testudines; Emydidae. The record is from RNAcentral.
CCCUUUUAUCUACAGAACAAAUACAGCACGGGCAGUGGCAGUGGCAGCUUCUAAACUCUGACUCACCGAUGGCCCUCAGCCCUGAGCCUGAGAGAUCACUUCUGGGGUUGGAGGG